Molecule: unclassified non-coding RNA, 334 nt
Filed under: soil metagenome
Description: partial contains 5.8S ribosomal RNA, internal transcribed spacer 2, and large subunit ribosomal RNA
Rfam family: 5.8S ribosomal RNA (bases 1-120)
Source: RNAcentral
GAUGAAGAACGCAGCGAAAUGCGAUAAGUAAUGUGAAUUGCAGAAUUCAGUGAAUCAUCGAAUCUUUGAACGCACAUUGCGCCCGCCAGUAUUCUGGCGAGCAUGCCUGUUCGAGCGUCAUUUCAACCAUCAAGCCCCAGGCUUGUGUUGGAGCCCUGCGGCUGCCGCAGCCUCCCAAAACCAGUGGCGGGCUCGCUAUCACACCGAGUGCAGUAGUUUACUCUUCGCUCAGGGCGUGUGGCGGGUGCUAGCCGUGAAACCCCCAACUUCCCAAGGUUGACCUCGGAUCAGGUAGGAAUACCCGCUGAACUUAAGCAUAUCAAUAAGCGGAGGA